GACGAACGCUGGCGGCGUGCCUAAUACAUGCAAGUAGAACGCACAGUUUAUACCGUAGCUUGCUACACCAUAGACUGUGAGUUGCGAACGGGUGAGUAACGCGUAGGUACCUUGCUUGUUACCGGGGGAUAACUAUUGGAACCGAUACCUAAUACCGCAUAUUAUUAAUUAUUCCAUGUUAAUUAUUUAAAAGUUCAAUUUGAACAACUACAAGAUGACCUUGCGUUGUAUUAGCUAGUAGGUGAGGUAACGGCUCACCUAGGCGACGAUACAUAGCCGACCUGAGAGGGUGAUCGGCCACACUGGGACUGAGACACGGCCCAGACUCCUACGGGAGGCAGCAGUAGGGAAUCUUCGGCAAUGGACGAAAGUCUGACCGAGCAACGCCGCGUGAGUGAAGAAGGUUUUCGGAUCGUAAAGCUCUGUUGUAAGAGAAGAACGGGUGUGAGAGUGGAAAGUUCACACUGUGACGGUAUCUUACCAGAAAGGGACGGCUAACUACGUG
This 505-nucleotide ribosomal RNA is filed under the name uncultured bacterium. RNAcentral's name for it is "partial 16S ribosomal RNA". It matches the Rfam family "Bacterial small subunit ribosomal RNA", at positions 28 to 507 of the family's 1533-position model. The record is from RNAcentral.